AUAUCGGGGGUGCACUGGCACAGAGGAAAGGCCAUGUGAAGCAAGAAGGCAGCCAUCUGCAAGCCAAGGAGAGAAAUUUCAGAAGGAACCAACCCUACCGACAUCUUGAUCUUGGACUUUAAGCUGCCAGAACUAUAGCUUCACACAUAAGGAACCACCUUAGCAUCCUUCACUCAAUGCUGAAAGUGAGCAUCUGGUCUGCCUUUGGGCCAAUGCUAAAUCUCUUCAACAGCAUCCUUUACCGAAGCAACAUUGUCCCAGAAUCUGCUGAAGCAGCAAGAAAAGAGGUCAGCAGUAGGACCAAGCUGCAUAUCUUCUUAGGCAGGAGGGCAUCACUAUUGAGGCCAAAUGGACACUCACUAGCAAGGUGGCUGGAAACAACUGUUCUAGAAAGAACCCAAGGAAAAAUUUCCAGGAGGAACCCAAACAGAAAAAUCUAUUUUAUACAUUUUCUACAGAAAAUGCACCCCAUCAUUGCUUAUAGCCCACCCACGUGGACUGCUCAUUCUGUGAAUCAUGUUUUACAGGUGAGUUUUGGCUACUGAAAGCUUGGAGUCAAACCUGUAUGCCUCUUCCUUUGUCUGCCAAUAUAUUUUGUAUAUUAGGCCUCGGCCCUGGCUCCAAUUUAGAUUACCAUUUUUUUCCCCUACUUUGUCCCUCUCUUUGACCUUUUAACUUACUUCUAUUCUUUGUGUGCAGAACUUUGUAAGCCCUGUUAGAUCCUUACUGCAGCAAUGUACAUAAGCAAUGUAAUAAACAGGAUGAUAUUCAAUGCCCAUAUCAAAUCAUCCUGUGUGUGUAGAAUCACAAGUGCAUUUCAUUCUAGACACAAGACAUAAUUUUGCACAUUUCAAAAUGCAGUAAACGAUUCCUAGAAUGCUAUUUUAGAAGCUUUCCUUAGGAAACAGCACCACGUGGCAUAACUCACCUACCCCAGUAGUGUGAUCUCCCUUUGGUCCUGUGUAGGAAGUGGGAGUUUCUCCCCUCCUCCUGUGCCAGCUGCUCCGGUUUCUUUUCUCCUGAGUAAAUGUACAUUCAUCUUGCUCGAAAGUACACUCUCCAGGUGGAGGUGGAAGUUUCUCUGCAAGAAAAUAGCAGAUGUUGCAAUCACUGAGACUCUUUCAAUGACUCUGUGUUGCUAGCAGCCCACUCUGCAUGUAUGAAUGUUGUCUGGCCAUAUGCCAUGCGAUGGAGAGGCAGCCCCCACUGGUGGCCCACCUACACGGAGCCACUGCUUCCAGCUAGAGGCUGCAUUCCACUGAGGGUCCUGCCACAGACAUAGAGAACAAUCAGAUAUACAGAUCUAAAAUACUGGGCUACUUUGAGAAAAAAACUUUCUCUGACUUGUGAAUUUUUGUGAAUUUCUUUUUAUAAAGCUCUGGAAAUUAUAGGUAUAUUGCCUUUAUGAAAAUAUGGAAAAUAAUAAAAUUUCAUAAUGCAGGCACUUUCUUCAGAAAUCCUGGAUGAGUGAAGGGUAUCCUCAUAACAACUCCACAGUUGCUUUGUAGGUGGGGGAGAAUGUGAGAGUGCUAAAUGGACUCCUGGAGGCAUAGCUGUGUGGAACAAAUGACUUCACUUCUCUGUGCCUUAGAGUUCUUAUCUCUAAUGUGGGAAUAUUGAUGGUAGUCACUUCAUGGGUCUGUGAGGAUUAAAUGAGAUGGUAUAUGUAAAGUGAUCAUUUUUAAUGUGAAGUUCUCAAUAAUUAAAUUUUAGAACUUAUUUUGCCACCCAGAGGUUUAUUUUCCUUUUCCCAAAUCCAAUGUUUAUGUCUUUGAAUGCUAUCUUCAAUAACAUUCAUAAUUAUUAGAAUGGUACUUCUUCCCAAUUUAUUGGGGACUUUUCCUUUGACUAAACUUGGUUGUACCUCCCUAUAUCCAGAUUCUUAGCUACAUUUUUGUAAUAAAUAGCUUGUUUCAUA
This 1918-nucleotide non-coding RNA is filed under the name Pan troglodytes (chimpanzee). The record is from RNAcentral. Lineage: Eukaryota; Metazoa; Chordata; Mammalia; Primates; Hominidae.